AGCAGCCGCGGUAAUUCCAGCUCCAAUAGCGUAUAUUAAAGUUGUUGCAGUUAAAAAGCUCGUAGUUGAAUUUCGGGAUCAAUAUAUCGGUCGUGCCAUUGGUACGUACUGGUAUCAUUGGUUUCUCCUUUCUGACGAACCAUGAUGUCAUUAAUUUGGUGUUAUGGGAAGCUAGGACUGUUACUUUGAAAAAAUUAGAGUGUUUAAAGCAGGCUAACGCUUGAAUACAUUAGCAUGGAAUAAUGAAAUAGGACGUUCGAUCUUAUUUUGUUGGUUUCUAAGAUUGACGUAAUGAUUAAUAGGGAUAGUUGGGGGCAUUAGUAUUCAAUUGUCAGAGGUGAAAUUCUUGGAUUUAUUGAAGACUAACUACUGCGAAAGCAUUUGCCAAGGAUGUUUUCAUUAAUCAAGAACGAAAGUUAGGGGAUCGAAGACGAUCAGAUACCGUCGUAGUCUUAACCAUAAACUAUGCCGACUAGGGAUCGGAUGAUGUUAAUUUUUUAAUGACUCA
Molecule: ribosomal RNA, 508 nt
Filed under: uncultured Glomeraceae
Lineage: Eukaryota; Fungi; Glomeromycota; Glomeromycetes; Glomerales; Glomeraceae
Description: SSU rRNA
Rfam family: Eukaryotic small subunit ribosomal RNA
Source: RNAcentral